RNAcentral lists this ribosomal RNA (373 nucleotides) under uncultured bacterium. Its description in RNAcentral is "bacterial SSU rRNA". It matches the Rfam family "Bacterial small subunit ribosomal RNA", at positions 527 to 898 of the family's 1533-position model. The record is from RNAcentral.
GAAUCGUCCAAACGUUGUUCGGAUUCACUGGGUUUAAAGGGCGCGUAGGCGGUGCGUUAAGUCGGCGGUGAAAUACUUCGGCUCAACCGGAGAAUUGCCGCUGAAACUAGCGUGCUCGAGGAAGGUAGAGGUGCGUGGAACUUCCGGUGGAGCGGUGAAAUGCGUUGAUAUCGGAAGGAACACCUGUGGCGAAAGCGAUGCACUGGACCUUUUCUGACGCUGAGGCGCGAAAGCCAGGGGAGCGAACGGGAUUAGAUACCCCGGUAGUCCUGGCCAUAAACGAUGGGGACUAGAGAGUAGAUGCUCCGAUGUGUUUACUCUCGAAGCAAAAGUGCUAAGUCCCCCACCUGGGGAGUAUGGUCGCAAGGCUGAA